This 253-nucleotide ribosomal RNA is filed under the name uncultured bacterium. RNAcentral describes it as "partial 16S ribosomal RNA". It matches the Rfam family "Bacterial small subunit ribosomal RNA", at positions 524 to 776 of the family's 1533-position model. The record is from RNAcentral.
UACGUAGGGUGCGAGCGUUAAUCGGAAUUACUGGGCGUAAAGUGUGCGCAGGUGGCCGCGCAAGUCGAGCGUGAAAUCCCCGAGCUUAACUUGGGAAUUGCGCUCGAAACUACGUGGCUCGAGUGUGGCAGAGGAAGGUGGAAUUCCACGUGUAGCGGUGAAAUGCGUAGAGAUGUGGAGGAACACCGAUGGCGAAGGCAGCCUUCUGGGCCAACACUGACGCUCAUGCACGAAAGCGUGGGGAGCAAACAGG